RNAcentral lists this ribosomal RNA (253 nucleotides) under uncultured bacterium. RNAcentral describes it as "partial 16S ribosomal RNA". It matches the Rfam family "Bacterial small subunit ribosomal RNA", at positions 524 to 776 of the family's 1533-position model. The record is from RNAcentral.
UACGAAGGGUGCAAGCGUUAUUCGGAAUUAUUGGGCGUAAAGGGCGCGUAGGCGGCUUUGCAAGUGACGGGUGAAAGCCCUCGGCUUAACCGAGGAACUGCCUGUCAGACUGUGAGGCUUGAGACCGGGAGAGGUGAGUGGAAUUCCCAGUGUAGCGGUGAAAUGCGUAGAUAUUGGGAGGAACACCAGUGGCGAAGGCGGCUCACUGGACCGGAACUGACGCUGAGGCGCGAAAGCGUGGGGAGCAAACAGG